Molecule: ribosomal RNA, 1203 nt
Filed under: Candidatus Moranbacteria bacterium CG_4_9_14_3_um_filter_40_7
Lineage: Bacteria; Candidatus Moraniibacteriota
Description: 16S ribosomal RNA
Rfam family: Bacterial small subunit ribosomal RNA
Source: RNAcentral
GCGAGACACAUUGAUUGUAUAUUAGGAAUAAGAGGUUACUAACUCUGUGCCAGCAGUAGCGGUAAUACAGAGACCUCGAGCGUUAUCCGGAUUUAUUGGGCGUAAAGAGCAUGUAGGCGGACAUAUUAGUCAGAUGUCAAAUCUUCGAGCUCAACUCGAAAACUGCAUUUGAAACGGUAUAUCUAGAGAANNNNNNNNNNNNNNNNNNNNNNNNNNNUAGCAGUAAAAUGCGUUGAUAUCAUAUGGAACACCAAAGGUGAAAGCAUUUAGUUAGUACCUUUCUGACGCUGAGAUGCGAAAGCGUGGGUAGCGAAUGGGAUUAGAUACCCCAGUAGUCCACGCCCUAAACGAUGCAUACUAGGCAUUAAGAGAAUCGACCCUUUUAGUGUCGGAGCUAACGCGUUAAGUAUGCCGCCUGGGAAGUACGGUCGCAAGACUAAAACUCAAAGGAAUAGACGGGGAUCCGCACAAGUGGUGGAGCAUGUGGUUUAAUUCGACAAUAAGCGAGGAACCUCACCAGGGCUUGAAACUUAGCUGCAUUGUGUAGAAAUACACAAGCCUUCGAGGGUGCUAAGCAGGUGCUGCACGGUUGUCGUCAGCUCGUGCCGUAAGGUGUUCUGUUAAGUCAGGAAACGAGCGCAACCCCUAUCAAGUGUUAAAUUUUUCACUUGAAACUGCCCAGCUCUAAGCGCGCUUCGCGCUUAAAUUCUAAAUUCUAAAUUCUAAAUUUUAAAAUAAUUUAUAAUGAUUUAAUUUAAAAAUUUUAUCAUUUGGAUUUCAUUUAAAAUUGAAAAUUUAAAAUUGAAAAUUUAGCGUUUAGCAAACGCGUUUGGAGCUGGGAGGAAGGUGGGGAUGACGUCAAAUCAGCGUGGCCCUCUGACGCCCUGGGCUACACACGUGCUACAAUGGCCGAAACAAAAGGUUGCCAAGUCGUAAGACGGAGCCAAUCCUAAAAAUUCGGUCUCAGUUCGGAUUGAGGUCUGCAACUCGACCUCAUGAAGCCGGAAUCACUAGUAAUCGUGAAUCAGCAAUGUCACGGUGAAUACGUUCUCGGAUCUUGUACUCACCGCCCGUCACGUCAAGGGAGCCGGUAAUACCCAAAGACCCUGAAUCAAAUCUGGGGCUACGGUAGGACCGGUAACAGGGACGAAGUCGUAACAAGGCAUCGGUAGCGGAAGCUGUCGAUGGAUCACCUCCUUUCUA